GCACUUGUGAGGGCGAUCUGGCUGCGACAUCUGUCACCCUAUUGAUUGCCAGGGUUGAUUUGGCUGAUCUGGCUGGCUAGGCGGGUGUCCCCUUCCUCCCUGAGUGCUCCAUGUGAGUCCUUCCCGAAGCUGCGUGCUCGGUUGAAGAGGACAACCAUCCCCAAUAGAAGAGGACUGGUCUUUGGUCAAGGGUAUACGAGUAGCUGCACUCCCCUGCUAGAACCUCCAAACAAGCUCUCAAGGUCCAAAGUGGCUGCACCAUCUUACAUUCCCACCAGCAAUGUAUGAGGGCUCCAGUUUCUUCACAUUC
This 310-nucleotide small nuclear RNA is filed under the name Pan troglodytes (chimpanzee). It matches the Rfam family "7SK RNA". From Rfam's summary of the family: 7SK was discovered as an abundant small nuclear RNA in the mid-70s but a possible function has only recently been suggested. Two independent studies have found that 7SK RNA binds the CDK9/cyclin T complex (known as elongation factor P-TEFb). Lineage: Eukaryota; Metazoa; Chordata; Mammalia; Primates; Hominidae. The record is from RNAcentral.